RNAcentral lists this ribosomal RNA (253 nucleotides) under uncultured bacterium. RNAcentral's name for it is "partial 16S ribosomal RNA". It matches the Rfam family "Bacterial small subunit ribosomal RNA", at positions 524 to 776 of the family's 1533-position model. The record is from RNAcentral.
UACGUAGGUGGCGAGCGUUGUCCGGAUUUACUGGGCGUAAAGAGCGCGUAGGCGGCUUGUUAAGUUCUGUGUGAAAGGUUCCGGCUCAACCGGGACAGGGCAUGGGAUACUGGCAGGCUUGAGGGCAGCAGAGGUCGGUGGAAUUCCCGGUGGAGUGGUGAAAUGCGUAGAGAUCGGGAGGAACACCAGUGGCGAAGGCGGCCGACUGGGCUGUACCUGACGCUGAGGCGCGAAAGCGUGGGGAGCGAACCGG